This 29-nucleotide non-coding RNA is filed under the name Rattus norvegicus (Norway rat). The record is from RNAcentral. Lineage: Eukaryota; Metazoa; Chordata; Mammalia; Rodentia; Muridae.
UGGUUGAUUGUUGAUUGAAGACACAGGGC